RNAcentral lists this ribosomal RNA (497 nucleotides) under uncultured bacterium. RNAcentral describes it as "partial 16S ribosomal RNA". It matches the Rfam family "Bacterial small subunit ribosomal RNA", at positions 28 to 507 of the family's 1533-position model. The record is from RNAcentral.
GACGAACGCUGGCGGCGUGCCUAAUACAUGCAAGUAGAACGCUGAAGAGAGGAGCUUGCUCUUCUUGGAUGAGUUGCGAACGGGUGAGUAACGCGUAGGUAACCUGCCUUGUAGCGGGGGAUAACUAUUGGAAACGAUAGCUAAUACCGCAUAACAAUGGAUGACACAUGUCAUUUAUUUGAAAGGGGCAAUUGCUCCACUACAAGAUGGACCUGCGUUGUAUUAGCUAGUAGGUGAGGUAAUGGCUCACCUAGGCGACGAUACAUAGCCGACCUGAGAGGGUGGUCGGCCACACUGGGACUGAGACACGGCUCAGACUCCUACGGGAGGCAGCAGUAGGGAAUCUUCGGCAAUGGGGGCAACCCUGACCGAGCAACGCCGCGUGAGUGAAGAAGGUUUUCGGAUCGUAAAGCUCUGUUGUAAGUCAAGAACGGGUGUGAGAGUGGAAAGUUCACACUGUGACGGUAGCUUACCAGAAAGGGACGGCUAACUACGUG